UCAGGUCACAAAGGGUGAUGUGUAUAUGGACAUGUUGUCAGGCCACAAAGGGUGAUGUGUAUAUGGACAUGUUGUCAGGCCACAAAGGGUGAUGCCGGGGUUUGUGUAUAUAUGGACAUGUUGUCAGGCCACAAAGGGUGAUGCCGGGGUUUGUGUAUAUAUGGACAUGUUGUCAGGCCACAAAGGGUGAUGCCGGGGUUUGUGUAUAUAUGGACAUGUUGUCAGGCCACAAAGGGUGAUGCCGGGGUUUGUGUAUAUAUGGACAUGUUGUCAGGCCACAAAGGGUGAUGCCGGGGUUUGUGUAUAUAUGGACAUGUUGUCAGGCCACAAAGGGUGAUGCCGGGGUUUGUGUAUAUAUGGACAUGUUGUCAGGCCACAAAGGGUGAUGCCGGGGUUUGUGUAUAUAUGGACAUGUUGUCAGGCCACAAAGGGUGAUGUGUAUAUGGACAUGUUGUCAGGUCACAAAGGGUGAUGUAUAUAUGGACAUGUUGUCAGGCCACAAAGGGUGAUGUGUAUAUGGACAUGUUGUCAGGCCACAAAGGGUGAUGUAUAUAUGGACAUGUUGUCAGGCCACAAAGGGUGAUGUGUAUAUGGACAUGUUGUCAGGCCACAAAGGGUGAUGUGUAUAUGGACAUGUUGUCAGGCCACAAAGGGUGAUGUGUAUGUGGACAUGUUGUCAGGCCACAAAGGGUGAUGUGUAUAUGGACACGUUGUCAGGCCACAAAGGGUGAUGUGUAUAUGGACAUGUUGUCAGGCCACAAAGGGUGAUGUGUAUAUGGACAUGUUGUCAGGCCACAAAGGGUGAUGCCGGGGUUUGUGUAUAUAUGGACAUGUUGUCAGGUCACAAAGGGUGAUGUGUAUAUGGACAUGUUGUCAGGUCACAAAGGGUGAUGUGUAUAUGGACAUGUUGUCAGGUCACAAAGGGUGAUGUGUAUAUGGACAUGUUGUCAGGUCACAAAGGGUGAUGUGUAUAUGGACAUGUUGUCAGGCCACAAAGGGUGAUGUAUAUAUGGACAUGUUGUCAGGCCACAAAGGGUGAUGUGUAUAUGGACAUGUUGUCAGGCCACAAAGGGUGAUGUGUAUAUGGACAUGUUGUCAGGCCACAAAGGGUGAUGCCGGGGUUUGUGUAUAUAUGGACAUGUUGUCAGGCCACAAAGGGUGAUGCCGGGGUUUGUGUAUAUAUGGACAUGUUGUCAGGCCACAAAGGGUGAUGCCGGGGUUUGUGUAUAUAUGGACAGGCAUUUUUGAACAGACUGUUGGUUACCCAUCGUUGACCUGACACUCAAUUCUCCAUUU
Oncorhynchus keta (chum salmon) is the source of this 1296-nucleotide long non-coding RNA. RefSeq lists it as uncharacterized. Lineage: Eukaryota; Metazoa; Chordata; Actinopteri; Salmoniformes; Salmonidae. The transcript has 3 exons. The record is from RefSeq and is a predicted model, not a curated record.